UAAUAUUAAAUGACUGUUUAAAAAAAAGAAAAAUGUCUAUUGUUGUAUUUUUCUUUUAAGUGAAUUACUUUAAAAAUAUUUACUGGCUGAAGAAUAAUGAUGAACUCCACUCCGAUGAGAGCUAGUAAAAAGGAGAUGACAGGAUGGGUGACGACAUUCAGUUUGAUAUAAUCUCCGUGACCACUUCGAGGGUCUAAUCCUUGAGCACACUGCCUCUAUAGAUAAUAAAAUAGUGAAACUGAUUCAUUGAAUUUCAAUAUUUGUUUUAUAUCACUAAAAUUUAAUAAAAUAAAACAUCUUAAGUC
Long non-coding RNA from Bombyx mori (domestic silkworm), 305 nucleotides. RefSeq lists it as uncharacterized. The transcript is spliced from 2 exons. NCBI's taxonomy places the organism in Eukaryota, Metazoa, Arthropoda, Insecta, Lepidoptera, Bombycidae. The record is from RefSeq and is a predicted model, not a curated record.